GACGAACGCUGGCGGCAUGCCUAACACAUGCAAGUCGAACGAAACCUCCGGGUCUUGUGGCGCACGGGGGCGUAACGCGUGGGGACCUGCCCUUAGGUACGGAAUACCUCCCCGACAGGGGUGCUAAUACCGCAUAAUGUCUUCGGACCAAAGAUUUCUUGCCUUUGGAUGGGCCCGAGUUGGAUUAGGUAGUUGGUAGGGUAAAAGCAUACCAAGGCGAGGAUGCAUAGCUGGUCUGAGAGGAUGAUUAGCCACACUGGGACUCAGACACGGCCCAGACUCCUACGGAAGGCAGCAGUGGGGAAUAUUGGAAAAUGGGCGAAGGCCUGAUCCAGCAAUGCCGCGUAAGUGAUGAAGGCCGUAGGGUAGUAAAGCGCUUUUACCCGGGAUGAUAAUGACGGUACCGGGAGAAUAAGCUCCGGCUAACUCCGUG
RNAcentral lists this ribosomal RNA (433 nucleotides) under uncultured bacterium. RNAcentral describes it as "partial 16S ribosomal RNA". It matches the Rfam family "Bacterial small subunit ribosomal RNA", at positions 28 to 507 of the family's 1533-position model. The record is from RNAcentral.